GAAUUCUCUAAUCUCUUCAUGAAGGCACUUAGUGCUAUAAAUUUUCCUCUUAGCACAACUUUCAUUGUGUCUCAUAAGUCUGGGUUCUAAAGACUCAAGGAAUCCCAGGAAGCAGACAACCCAGAAGCCUCAGGAAGUCCCUGAAACUGACCAGGCAGGCGCCUUAGGCUCCUCCUUCCCCACAUUCAUCUAACCAGUGAUAAUGGUUGAGAACACAGAGACCAGCUGAACCGCGUGGAAGCGACUCUGACCUGUUGUACCGCCUGCACACACUGUUCAGCGUACUUCAGGAUUCUGGCUUUCAUGAGCUGUCACCCAUGCUGGGGUGACAAUGCAGCUGUCUUCAAAGCAUUUUCUGCUCCUGUGAGAAAGCCAAGUCGAGAAUGUGCUCACUGUCCAAGGGCAGCAUGGGUUGCGUCCAGAUUCUGCCGCUACUCACUGAUCGGUGUGUGCCUGAGCCCAGAUGAAUCCACAGAAGGCCACACACUGUGAGUCAAGGAGCAUGGGGCAUGUGGGCAUCGUGUGAGUCCUCAGGGUGAAACUUGGAUCAAAUCCAAGUUCAGAACCUUCAUGCUGUGCGGCCCCAGGCCAAACUAUGGCUUUUUAAGCCUGGGCUGCCCACUUAUCUUCAUGCUGGUCACCAGUGAGACCGAUAAUCUCUGGGCUCCUCGCUGACACGGAAGGACCUUUCAUGCACUGAAAUGGCUUUUUCUUCCUUCUGUUUCUAUUUGUAUUUAUCUUUCAUGACGUAACAUAUAUAAAGUGUGCUUUAAUCGUA
Molecule: long non-coding RNA, 778 nt
Organism: Mesocricetus auratus (golden hamster)
Lineage: Eukaryota; Metazoa; Chordata; Mammalia; Rodentia; Cricetidae
Exons: 3
Source: RefSeq, a predicted model, not a curated record